ACACACAUUUUAAAGAAAAGCCACAGUAAAAAUUGGCACUUGGACCCAUUUGAACAGAAAGAGUAUAGUAAGUGUGCAUCACGGGAGGAAAUUCUUCUUGUGCGAUACACGAUGUCAUUUCUAAUCAUGCUCGUCAUACUGCCUGCCUAAUUUGUGGCUCUUUAAAACUCACUGGGCUGAGUGAUAACAUGCUGGCUGUGACAUGCAUGGACACUGGAGCCGUUGCUUUUUUUUUUUGACUUUGUAGAAACCACAUAUUACUAGCCUCAAGUGCCUGACUCCUGCCACAUUUUUCUGUCAGGCGGUAAUAAGUUAAGUGUUUUUAGCUUGUAUGGAAUCACAGUUGUGGAGGAAAAGUUAGACACUUAAUAGCUCAAUGAAUUUUAAAAUACAGUCAGUCCUCCAUAUUUGUAGGUUCCACAUCCACAGAUGGAAAAUAUGCAGGGAAAAAAGUUAUUGUUGACAUGGACUAAGUAGUUAGGCCUACAAUGGUUGUGUCAGUAGUAAACAUGUAGACUUUCUUCCUUAUCCCCUUAUCCUUAAAAAAUACAGUAUAACAACUACUUACAUUGUAUUAGAUAUUACAAGUAAUGUAGAGAUGAUUUAAAGUAUAUGGGAGGAUGUACGGAGGCUAUAUGCAAAUACUAUGCUAUUUUAUAUAUGGGACUUAAGCAUCCGUGGGUUUGGGUAUCCAAGAGGGUGGUUUAACACACCAUCCCACCUGGGUUCUAAGGGAUGACUGUACAAGCAUAUUUUUGUGAGUAAUCUGAAAUUACCAGAAAUUGUUUUUAGGGGGAAAAAAAGGCAAAAGCCCAAAUGUGUUACUUGUGAUCAGUUUCCUUUGGGAAGGAUGUUGUUACUCCUUUUUUCAGUAACAAUCAUGGUUUUCUUUUUGCCCUUGAAUUGUACCUUCAUAUGUAAACAAUUAUGUUUUUAGGCUUUUUUUAGUAUUAUAAAGCUUCCAUAUUAUGCAAGGUUGGUAACAAAUCUCUGGGCAUGCUUAAUAUCCUGGGAUAUUGAUUUAAUGGCAGAAAUGGUUAAAUCCGAUAUUCAUGGCUCUGUUAAUAAGCACACCACUGUUAGAUGAGAAGCCCUCUGAAAUUAAAGAACUUUGUUUUUCUUUUUUAGUAUCUGAUCAUUUGAAUAACAGAGUCUUUGCAAAUCCUAAAAUACAUGAUUUCCUACAGAAUUUAAAUGAAUACAGCUCUUAUUGACGCCUGCUUGGGACAGUGCAAGAUGAACCCAGCAGCACAUUAGGAUAUUUGAAAAGAUGACAGCUGUUUAAAUGCCAAUAAAAUAAACCUGUCUUCCUCUGUGAAUCAACCUGUCUUCCUCUAUGAAGACUGCUCAUAUUUGGAAAGAAGAGCAAGCCCUGUCUUUAUUCCAAGAACGAUGUGCAUUCACUCACCAAUUUCCUCUGGUUCGGGUUACUGUCCUUCUCCCGGAUCUGUGGGCCUGACCGGUCCCUCUGCAUCAUGAUGAGCUGCCCUGCAAGAUUCAGCAUAAUGCUCUCUGCAUCACGAGCCUGAAGAAAAAGAAAUUAAAUCCAUACUAAUUUUUAGUAGGUCACCUUUCCUGAUCUGUGCCACCUGAACUUGGAGCUCUGCCCCUAAUACUGAGAACAGGAAAUGGCAGAAGGAAAAGCAGCAGCUAGUAAAUACUGCAGAAACUCAGGUCGGAUUCCACACCCCGGCCCAGAGCCGUGCCAGACCACUGAGAAAACUGAGUGCUGGGGUACAGAAUCUCUACUCCUAACUUCUUAGGGUUCUCUUCAGUCUCAAAGAACCUAAUUUUUUCUCUUAAAGUCAUUCUGCUAAAACCCUGUCUCCUGCCCAGACCCACUUCUGUCUGUAACUGGUGAGACUGUGAGAGCCUUUUUCCUAGAAGAUUUGAUCUGUGCCAACACCACACAUGGUGCAUAAGAAUUAGAGUAAAUCAUUUGUAAAUAAAAUAGCCUUUAGAAUCCUCGCUGCUGACAUGCUUAACACAUUGUAGGUGUUUAUCUCCCACAUUUCAUGAAGCUUACUCUCUAAAUAGCCAGGAUAACUAGAAAACCAACAUUUCAGAACACUGCAUGGUAAUGAUUCGUACACCUUUCAGAAAUAAACAUUUAUAUUACACAAAAUGCUGAGUAUUAAA
Long non-coding RNA from Eptesicus fuscus (big brown bat), 2139 nucleotides. RefSeq lists it as uncharacterized. The record is from RefSeq and is a predicted model, not a curated record. The transcript is spliced from 5 exons. Lineage: Eukaryota; Metazoa; Chordata; Mammalia; Chiroptera; Vespertilionidae.